GAAGCCAAGCAGCAUGUGGCAAGGGAAUCCCUGCCUGAAGACCCUGAUAGGUCAAGAGGCUGUGAGAUGCCGUCAUGUGAAGCUAUGAAAGUGAAGCUUGACUUACAGUGGAGACUCCAAGAUACUGGAGAUGCCAGAGCCAUGAGACAUCUACCAUAACAUGGAGAGCUGCAUACAGGGCUCUCACCCCAAGGACAGCAUCACAAACAAACACAUUACGCUAAAAGGAGAAGCAGAAUUCUGGCAACUACACCAAUUUCAUGGCUAGCAUAUGCGGUAACUUCUAACAAAGCCGUGUCAGCCACUCACUGCAUAUUGGCGAAUUCCAAGAAAAAGUUUCCUAAAGGUUGAAAUUGUCAGUUUUCUCUUCCUCGAUUGAAAGAUUCUUAUAAUCACCUAGAGAUAUUGAUAUCAGCAAUUCUCAACAGGAAGUCAAUGGGAGAACUCAAAUGCAGUCCCUCACUACCACAAAUUAUGCAGUCAAGUUUCCAGCAUUUGGGGAAAUCGCAGGGGUCAGCACAUCCAGAGUGCAAUAGAUAAGCCUUGCCCUGAGAAAACCACCUUCAUAAUCAUGGUAUCUCCCCUGCCAGGUAAGUAUGUGUGUAAUAUUCUUAUUGGCACAGUGGUUCUGUUUUAAUUCUGAAAAUCCAUACUAUUUACCACAAAAGACAACAGAAACAAUUUUUUAAGUAAUUACCUUUACAUUUUAUUCCUGAGAAUUGAUUCAAACUAGAUUUGUCUUUGACUCAUGAGAGUUUGUCUUAGUCUUCUCUUUCUGUUGGUUGUUGUUUGUUUAAAGGAAUGGGGUCUUGCUCAGGCUGGCCUCAAAGGCCUGGGCUCAACAAACUCGUCUCAGCCUCCUAAGUAACUGGAAGCAUAUGCCACCUUGCCCAGAUUAUCUCAUUUCUUCAUUUUGGACCUUAAGUAUGCUUUCAUUUUGAAAAUAUUUCCUAUAUUAACACUAGUAAGUUAAAACACAGAUUUUUUUUUCUUGACUUCUAAAUGCAAAAGUUGAUAAAACGUCUUCAAAGAGAGUGGGGUAUGCCAGCUCUCACAUUUCAGAAGGAGCACCCACUAAAACGAUGAACGAAGAAAGAUAACAUCAGGAUGGAGAACAAAUGGAACAUCGCACAUUGCUGAUAGCAAACAAAAUGGUACUGCCGUUCUGGGAAAGCAUUUGGGAAAGUCCAUCUAGGUUAACUCACCAGGGACCUCAAACUCCUGGAGCCAACAUCAACAAACCUUUCUGUUAAAGGACAAAAUAGGGACUCUGAUAGACUUGUGAGUCACACUUAGACGACCUCUCAACUCUGUCAUUGCAUGAAUGACAUGUAUUUCAAUAUAAUUUUGCUGAUGAAAACAGCCUA
Long non-coding RNA from Peromyscus californicus insignis, 1367 nucleotides. RefSeq lists it as uncharacterized. NCBI's taxonomy places the organism in Eukaryota, Metazoa, Chordata, Mammalia, Rodentia, Cricetidae. The transcript has 3 exons. The record is from RefSeq and is a predicted model, not a curated record.